Molecule: long non-coding RNA, 1048 nt
Filed under: Olea europaea subsp. europaea
Lineage: Eukaryota; Viridiplantae; Streptophyta; Magnoliopsida; Lamiales; Oleaceae
Source: RNAcentral
UUCUUAUCAUAAGCUGCCAACAAAUAUUAUGGCCGAGGAUAGUGAACUUAAGUCAACAUCAUAUAUGCAAGGCUAAAAAAUAUGCAAUGUACCCAUUGACAUUCGAUUAGUUUACAUACAGAGAUCAAAUAGAUUCUAUCAUCAUAAUCCUACAUAAACAAAAGUUCAUAUCAUAACUAAUCAAGUGGAACCCUUCCUCUAUGCAUUCCACUUUCGGCUGCCUUCUGCCUUGCAUAUCGUCACAUUCAUUGAAAUUCGAAGGUCUACUUCAUCAUUGAGGCCAACAUCUAGGCAACAUUGAACCAUCGACUCACCAAAGUCGAUGACCAGUAACUCCAAACCUGAAGAAGUAAAAUGUAUACUAGCAGGUUGAAAAGAAAAAUGAUAAACAAAACAAGAGGAACUACCAAUUGCAGAAAAUAAAUCAUUUUCUGUUCUCCUCAAAGGAAAUUAACAAGGUAGUCUUCUUAUGUUCUACUAUUUAAUGGCUCAUGCUCAGUUUCUGUGGGCGAUAUAUAGCAUUGAAACAUCAAAAAUAGCCAGAAAGCCGAAAUUUUAGCUUUGGAUUUGUCAUAUUCGUCAAGGCCAAAUGAGGCUCCUCAACAAAAGAAGUAGAUGUACCCCAACAAAAUUCCAUGAACUCAAGAUGUAAGAACGUACUAUUUUUAAGAAUCUGCAAGAUAGUACUGCUGUAAAGAUAAGAAUUAUACAGGAAUCAGCUGGUGGCCUUGUAACAUCUAAGGCAGAAAUUUCACCGACUUCCAGCAUGAAAGUUAAAUAGAUAAACUCUGGUGUGGAAGGGAUCUUGAUUAUUGGGGGAAAGUGCAGUCGAAAACCAUUGCUGGAAGUGCAAUCGAGUUCCUUGGGUGAAACCUACUGUGUGGGCGAUGGGUGAAUUGGGGGAAAAUUGGAUGACAUGCGGUCAAAUGCAUCAAUUAAUUGGUCCUUUUUUGCGUCUUUUUUUUUUUCGCCACGUCAGCCGGGAUUUUGCCUGGAAUACUUCUGGCCGUGUAGCGGAACAGGGCGGAAAAAGGAUAAGGGAUUCUGU